RNAcentral lists this ribosomal RNA (446 nucleotides) under uncultured Propionicicella sp. RNAcentral describes it as "bacterial SSU rRNA". It matches the Rfam family "Bacterial small subunit ribosomal RNA", at positions 338 to 795 of the family's 1533-position model. Lineage: Bacteria; Bacillati; Actinomycetota; Actinomycetes; Propionibacteriales; Nocardioidaceae. The record is from RNAcentral.
CCUACGGGCGGCUGCAGUGGGGAAUAUUGCGCAAUGGGCGAAAGCCUGACGCAGCAACGCCGCGUGCGGGAUGACGGCCUUCGGGUUGUAAACCGCUUUCAGCAGGGACGAAGCAACACGUGACGGUACCUGCAGAAGAAGCACCGGCUAACUACGUGCCAGCAGCCGCGGUGAUACGUAGGGUGCGAGCGUUGUCCGGAAUUAUUGGGCGUAAAGAGCUUGUAGGCGGUCUGUUGCGUCGGAAGUGAAAACUCAGGGCUUAACCCUGAGCCUGCUUUCGAUACGGGCAGACUUGAGGAAGGUAGGGGAGAACGGAAUUCCUGGUGGAGCGGUGGAAUGCGCAGAUAUCAGGAGGAACACCAGUGGCGAAGGCGGUUCUCUGGACCUUUCCUGACGCUGAGAAGCGAAAGCGUGGGGAGCAAACAGGCUUAGAUACCCCGGUAGUC